This 253-nucleotide ribosomal RNA is filed under the name uncultured bacterium. RNAcentral describes it as "partial 16S ribosomal RNA". It matches the Rfam family "Bacterial small subunit ribosomal RNA", at positions 524 to 776 of the family's 1533-position model. The record is from RNAcentral.
UACGUAGGGUGCGAGCGUUGUCCGGAAUUACUGGGCGUAAAGAGCUCGUAGGUGGUUUGUCGCGUUGUUCGUGAAAACCGGGGGCUUAACCCUCGGCGUGCGGGCGAUACGGGCAGACUUGAGUACUGCAGGGGAGACUGGAAUUCCUGGUGUAGCGGUGAAAUGCGCAGAUAUCAGGAGGAACACCGGUGGCGAAGGCGGAUCUCUGGGCCUUACCUGACGCUCAGGCGCGAAAGCUAGGGGAGCGAACUGG